GUUUCAGCUGACCGUGCAAGGCAGCCCGGAGGCCCAGGCUGCCCCCGCCGGCUGCCCACAGGAGAAGGAGCUGGAAGAAGAGCGCGGGGGCAUCAGGAGCAGCAAAGAGCAGCGUCCUGGCAAGCUCCUGCAGCAGCACGAGGAGCUUUCUCUCCCCGUGCUGCCAAACUGGGGGGAAGGCGUGAGGUGGCAAGGCAUGGAGAGCAAGCCUCCUGCCAGGUGAGAGCCUUGGGGGAAGGGCUGAGGGGGACACUUGUACCUGCGCAGGGGACACGUCCCCCUUUGGACACACCGGCCCGAGGGACUCAGAAAGCCUCCUGACACACGCCCCAGCAAAGGCUGCCCGCUUGCUGGAUGGAAAGCAUGCGCAGCUUUGCGGGAGAGCCUCAUGUUGCCUUCGUUUUCUUGCAGCGUCCCAACCUUUUGGGGAGCUGAAUGCAAAUCUGCAGUAGCAAACACCUCCUGCCCUUGUCCUAACGCACCCUGUGCUGUCUCCUCAGGAUCCUUAGGAAGCAGGCAGCCCCCAUCCUGGGCACCUCCCGGGGGAACGAGGUUGACAUUCAAUACCUCGAGGCUGCAUCCUCCCACUGGACCUCGGAGCAGCCGUGCUGGCGCCACUCUCAGGGGUGCAGCACAAGUGUGUGAGCGGGCUCUGGGUGAUCCUUGCAUCUCACCAACUCCUAGGAAAGCUCAGGCCUACGCGACUCCCUCCGGAAAGGGCCCUCAGUGCAUGGCCACGGCAGCCAUCGGUGGCCUCUUUGGCUGCUACUUUGGGGUGUAGUUAGGCGCUACUUUUACAAGAGCUUUUUCAGCCUGCCUUCUGCUGAAAAGCCCACAAAAGAGUGAUGGUGGCAAGGCUCAAGACAACGGGCGGGAGAGCGGGUGAAAAGCAAAAGCCAGCACCCCCUGCCCAGAAUCCCUGCCCAAACAGACAAGACCAAUUGUCAUGCCUUUCCGGGGCCCAGGAUACAGCCUGCCCUCCCACGCAGAGCUUCGGAAGAGCUGCCCACAUCUCCCCCUUGAAAGAGAAGCAGAGGCAGCACCAAGCACCGUGGGAUGAACAGCAGGCUGCACUGGAGAAACACGCACGGCGUCAGGCCCAGAUCAUGCUGCUGGAGAAGCAACUCGACCUCGAGCAGCACCGUUACCCAGACACUGACAUGCUGGGGAGGCCCCCACAAAGGCAAGUGUCCCCGCAAGCAAAGCAGAACAUGCAGCUUAUGACUUCCUACAAAGUUCUUCGGGACAGAUGGAAGGAAAGGGUGGAACAAAACUGACAGAGGCUGAAGAAGGAGGAGGAGGAGCGCCGGUAAAUCCCUCGCAACCCAGUGCUUUGGUGAUGUGCUGCCUCCGCAACAGAGAGCAGCAGGACCGCAUGCUGGGCAGUUACCACUGAAAUGGCUUUUAUCCAUGGGAAUAAAUGGCCUUUCC
RNAcentral lists this long non-coding RNA (1431 nucleotides) under Apteryx owenii (little spotted kiwi). RNAcentral's name for it is "lncRNA (ENSAOWG00000008769.1)". The record is from RNAcentral. Lineage: Eukaryota; Metazoa; Chordata; Aves; Apterygiformes; Apterygidae.